This 400-nucleotide ribosomal RNA is filed under the name uncultured bacterium. RNAcentral describes it as "bacterial SSU rRNA". It matches the Rfam family "Bacterial small subunit ribosomal RNA", at positions 355 to 747 of the family's 1533-position model. The record is from RNAcentral.
UGGGGAAUCUUCCGCAAUGGGCGAAAGCCUGACGGAGCAACGCCGCGUGAGUGAAGAAGGUCUUCGGAUCGUAAAGCUCUGUUGUCGGGGACGAAUGUUGAGAUCUAGAAUAUAGAUUUCAAAUGACGGUACCUGACGAGGAAGCCACGGCUAACUACGUGCCAGCAGCCGCGGUAAUACGUAGGUGGCGAGCGUUGUCCGGAAUUAUUGGGCGUAAAGGGAGCGCAGGCGGGAAGGUAAGUCUAUCUUAAAAGUGCGGGGCUCAACCCCGUGAGGGGAUAGAAACUAUCAUUCUUGAGUGCAGGAGAGGAAAGCGGAAUUCCUAGUGUAGCGGUGAAAUGCGUAGAUAUUAGGAGGAACACCAGUGGCGAAGGCGGCUUUCUGGACUGUAACUGACGCU